Non-coding RNA from Amylocarpus encephaloides, 112 nucleotides. The record is from the annotation of a GenBank genome assembly. NCBI's taxonomy places the organism in Eukaryota, Fungi, Ascomycota, Leotiomycetes, Helotiales.
GUCUUUGUGGCUCAGUUGGUUAGAGCGUUGGUCUCAUAUAAUUCUUUAUAUGAUUAGUCUGCACAACAGGCUGGUUAUCCAAAGGUCGAGAGUUCGAGUCUCUCCAAGGACA